RNAcentral lists this ribosomal RNA (468 nucleotides) under uncultured bacterium. RNAcentral's name for it is "partial 16S ribosomal RNA". It matches the Rfam family "Bacterial small subunit ribosomal RNA", at positions 28 to 506 of the family's 1533-position model. The record is from RNAcentral.
GACGAACGCUGGCGGCGUGCUUAACACAUGCAAGUCGAACGGAAAGGCCCUGCUUGCAGGGUGCUCGAGUGGCCAACGGGUGAGUAACACGUGGGUGAUCUGCCCCUUACUUUGGGAUAAGCCUGUGAAACUGGGUCUAAUACUGGAUAGGACCAUUCUUUAGGUGGUUUGGUGGAAAGAUUAGUUUCGGUAAGGGAUGAGCUCGGGGCCGAUCAGCUUGUUGGUGGGUUAAUGGCCUACCAAGGCGUCGACGGGUAGCCGGCCUGAGAGGGUGGACGGCCACAUUGGGACUGAGAUACGGCCCAGAGUACUAAGGGAGGCAGCAGUGGGGAAUAUUGGACAAUGCGAGCAAGCCUGAGGCAGCGACGCCGCGGGGGGGAUGAAGGCCUUCGGGUUGUAAACUCCUUUCAGCAAUGAAGAAGCCAUUGUGGUGACGGUAGUGGUAGAAGAAGCACCGGCAAACUACGU